CGACACCAUGAACAGCAUCGCACCAAUGCAGGCCGAGAGCUUGGUCCAUGUCCAGAGGUCGUUGCACAGCUGCACACCAGCCACUGCUCGCCAGCCCAUGAAGCCAAUCAAGGCGAUGUAGACAGCUACCAGGCAGCUGGAAACGAGGAGGAGAAGAUAUGGCAGCCAAACAGAAGCCCAGUAAGGCAGGAGGAGUUUUGUGAUACGUGGUGAGGCUGGUCACCAAGAAGAGAGUCAGCUCCCAGGUAGCCUCAUGCCUGGAGCUUGCUGUUGGCCAUCACCACAUGACUCCAAAACCCAUCACAUCAGCCUCACAGUUGCAGGCAACAGAUGACAGCACUUCUGGAAGGGUUUCCUCUUCCACACCAGUUGUGGAGGAUCCCCACCAUGCCGCAACAAGCCUGAGAUCUUCAGCGUGGAAAACUAACAACCUCCAGAGCUACAAAGUGGAAAAGAAUUCGCAGCAUCAACAGUGCUCCAGUUGCUUGUCACAGUCUCAGCUAAGAGUCAGUUGUCUGUAUCAACAUUACAAGUGGGAUGAAGAAAAUCCAGCUGCCACCAGGAGGGAGACACCUUGCGCCUGAGGUAUAGAGGAAUGUCAGAAGCUUGUUGCUUUGAAAUGCUGAAGUUGGACAAAGUUCACUGUCCCUAAGCCUCGCACUGGUCCCAGGAAACAAUGUGGAAUAUCAAAUAAUGCUCUUCUCUCCACAAGUCCCCUAAAUCAGCCUGCACAGAAAAUGAGUAUAUAGCCUCUUCCAGACACCAGCUGUGUGCCAACCUGCUGUGGGGAUAUGGCACACGCCCACUGGGCUGUAAAAUGCUGCUUUCCAGGAAAAGUGUUUUAAAAAUAAUACCCUAGCUAUUCCACUGAGCAACACUUGAGCUUGACUGUGUGUACUGGCCAAAAAAAGCUGGGCCGCUGUCCUCCACCCAUCCCUCCUAGUGACCUUGGCUGGCAAAGUACCAUUCUGUGUACCCAUGGCUCCGCUCUUUCUUCUGGCUUUUGGCAUCUUACAUCGUGGAUCCUGCCUUCGUUCUGCCCUACCGUGACAAUAGCUCUUACCCCCAGUUGUGCGCCGAUAAAUAUUUUUGUGGCUUUUGUUGCCAUGUAUUAUGCUGCCACUGCAAGCCCAAAGCUUGUGUUUCUCAUUCCCCAGAAUAUGUGGCUCUUCACAAGGCACUGAUGAUCCUCUGUGCAGUCUGAGUCACAGAGGGAGAGCUGCUUCAGCCUGGGGAUGGACCAAAGUUAGGAUAAAGUAUAUGUAUGUGCAACAGGCUCUCAUCUACAGAACAACAGGAAACCAACACAAUUCCCCAUUAGGUUGAGCCUACGGAACACCCAUCUUUGUCCUUAACCAAAAUGAGUAGACCAUAAGAAGCCCGUGUGUGCACAUAUCCUAGCCAGAGGCAGCUGAUUUUCCCCCAAAUUCAAUGACCCACCAGCUUUUGCUGAAUGAAGGAGGAACAUAGCAAUGCUGGCCAAUUCCUGGCCAUGAACCUGCAUGAGCUGACUGCAAAGCCAUCAUCCUCCUGGGUUUGCCUGCAAGUUCCCACCUUUGCUCAGAUGGUGCAACAUCAAGCCUUCUGAAUGUGUACACACUGAAACUGAUAUAAAAGAGGGAAAUUUUAAGCAGGGGGACCGAUGUGUGUGUAAUAGGGAGGAUUCUGCUGUUUGGUACUCCAGUUCACCAUUUACAUCUUCCCUAUCCUUGGUGGAUGCAGGGGCCAUCACAAAGACCAGCCCUGGCAUGGGCCCCUGCCUGGGCACAGAGCAAAGGCCCCAGCGGCCACUUUGGCCGCUUAGCUCUCCAUCCCUCCUGGGUGGCUUGCAGAGGUGGGAGAGGAGGAGACAGAUGAGAUGUAAAGGGACCAGCCAGCUAGUGCUUUUCACUCCACAGGGUUGCUGAAACAUUAGGGCUGGCUGGGAGAGUCCUAACUGGUACACUCUGGCGAGCGUAGGUGAGUGCAAAGCACUUCACCUCCAACUCUGCUCUCCUGCAGGAGCAAACAUGCUCUUGGGGGGUAACCGAAUGCCUUUUGUCA
This is a long non-coding RNA of Calidris pugnax (ruff), 2043 nucleotides long. RefSeq lists it as uncharacterized. The record is from RefSeq and is a predicted model, not a curated record. The transcript has 5 exons. NCBI's taxonomy places the organism in Eukaryota, Metazoa, Chordata, Aves, Charadriiformes, Scolopacidae.